GUUUCCACCCCCGCUCCCCGUUUCCACCCCCGCUCUGCUCUGACAGGUGCAGAUAUCUGAGAACCUGCUGCCUCCUCUGCUCCAGAUUCCUGGGAAACACUGGGAUGGAUUAACUGGCGGAUGUGACAUUUUACCCCAACAUGUUUUCAGUUCAGUUUGUUUUAAUUACUGCAGCCGUACAUCAGACGGGGGUCAGUUAGCCUGACGCUAACUGCUGCUCAGGAGAAAAGAGACUAAAAUCAAAACUAUCAGCCUGCAGCUCUUCUGGGAAUCCCUGACGCCCCGGAGGCCGUUUGGCGGCUCGGGUUGAGGACAGAGGACACAGAGUCUGUCUCUGUCCUGCAGAGACAACGUCGGCCGUCAGUGCUGCUAAAACGCUCUGCGGCUCCGCGGGCUGCGUCUCCAUGGCAACGUAAACAGCCGGACUUCCUUCGCCCUUGGACUUGACACCAGCGGUUCAGGGAUUUAGCUCCGUGCUAAAUCUGUCGGCGACGCCGGAUGAGUCCCAGCAUUCAGCUGGAGCCGGUCCCACUGGACCUCAGAGCAGCGCCUCGGUUUCAACGAUGAAACGGAAACUUUUUACGACCCUACGGAAGCCCAGAGCGGACAUCUCCAGCUUGGCUUUCUCCGGAUGACGAGUUAAAAUUCUCACUCUGAAUUUAACGACACGCAUUUUAGACAUGGAAUCGGGAUCAUUGUGAUCUGCAGAGGAGAACAUUUGUUUACCUGAGAGUAACUUGUUAUCUUGAGAAAACCACCGGGAAAAGGUUUAAGAAGACAACUGGGAAUAAACUCGUUAACUUCAUUAAAAAAACAAAAAUUAAAACAGGAUAAUUUGUUAAAAAUCUAGAAAUUUUCCACUGAUUGCUGUAAUUUAAUGAGAGAAGAAAUGACCAAGCCUGAAGUCUGUUUUUACAGUGGUCUAUUACGAAGGAGUAAAUUUGCGCUGAAAAAAAAUCAGAAAUGUUGAGAUUAAUUUCAGAAAUUUUCUAAAACAAGUUCUGAGUUUGAAAAAGUUUAAAAUUUGGCAGAAUUUUUAUUUAUUUUUUUUUAGAAUUUUAAUGUCAAAAACUGCUAGAUUGGACAAAUUUGUAUCACUUCUGAACCACAUUUGGCCCCUGGACCUCACUUUGGGAACCCCAACUUUACAACAAACAUCUGAGUUUCUUUUUCAGACCUACAAUAAUUUGUUCCUUUUAACUUUGUUUUAUUAAAAUAUUGUAUGUUUACUUUA
Molecule: long non-coding RNA, 1234 nt
Organism: Poecilia reticulata (guppy)
Lineage: Eukaryota; Metazoa; Chordata; Actinopteri; Cyprinodontiformes; Poeciliidae
Source: RefSeq, a predicted model, not a curated record